GACGAACGCUGGCGGCGUGCUUAACACAUGCAAGUCGAACGGAAAGGCCCUGCUUUUGUUGGUUGCUCGAUUGGCGAACGGGUGAGUAACACGUGAGUAACCUGCCCUUGACUUUGGGAUAACUUCAGGAAACUGGGGCUAAUACCGGAUAUGAGCUCCUGCUGCAUGGUGUGGGUUGGAAAGUUUCGGCGGUUGGGGAUGGACUCGCGGCUUAUCAGCUUGUUGGUGGGGUAGUGGCUUACCAAGGCUUUGACGGGUAGCCGGCCUGAGAGGGUGACCGGCCACAUUGGGACUGAGAUACGGACCAGACUCCUACGGGAGGCAGCAGUGGGGAAUAUUGCACAAUGGGCGGAAGCCUGAUGCAGAAACGCCGCGUGCGGGAUGACGGCCUUCGGGUUGUAAACCGCUUUCGCCUGUGACGAAGAGUGAGUGACGGUAAUGGGUAAAGAAGCACCGGCUAACUACGUG
RNAcentral lists this ribosomal RNA (468 nucleotides) under uncultured bacterium. RNAcentral describes it as "partial 16S ribosomal RNA". It matches the Rfam family "Bacterial small subunit ribosomal RNA", at positions 28 to 507 of the family's 1533-position model. The record is from RNAcentral.